AAUAGAUACCCCGGUAGUCCAUGCCGUAAACGUUGGGCACUAGGUGUGGGACCCCCUCAACGGGUUCCGUGCCGUAGCUAACGCAUUAAGUGCCCCGCCUGGGGAGUACGGCCGCAAGGCUAAAACUCAAAGGAAUUGACGGGGGCCCGCACAAGCAGCGGAGCAUGUUGCUUAAUUCGAGGCAACGCGAAGAACCUUACCUGGGUUUGACAUGUACGGAAAAGCCACAGAGAUGUGGUGUCCUUUUGGGCCGUACACAGGUGGUGCAUGGUUGUCGUCAGCUCGUGUCGUGAGAUGUUGGGUUAAGUCCCGCAACGAGCGCAACCCUUGUCCUAUGUUGCCAGCGGGUAAUGCCGGGGACUCGUAGGAGACUGCCGGGGACAACUCGGAGGAAGGUGGGGAUGACGUCAAAUCAUCAUGCCCCUUAUGUCCAGGGCUGCAAACAUGCUACAAUGGCCAGUACAAAGGGCUGCUAUACCGCGAGGUUGAGCGAAUCCCACAAAGCUGGUCUCAGUUCGGAUUGGAGUCUGCAACUCGACU
Molecule: ribosomal RNA, 540 nt
Filed under: uncultured bacterium
Lineage: Bacteria
Description: bacterial SSU rRNA
Rfam family: Bacterial small subunit ribosomal RNA
Source: RNAcentral